This 299-nucleotide unclassified non-coding RNA is filed under the name plant metagenome. RNAcentral's name for it is "partial contains 5.8S ribosomal RNA, internal transcribed spacer 2, and large subunit ribosomal RNA". The stretch from base 1 to 105 matches the Rfam family "5.8S ribosomal RNA", at positions 50 to 154 of the family's 154-position model. The record is from RNAcentral.
GAAAUGCGAUAAGUAGUGUGAAUUGCAGAAUUCAGUGAAUCAUCGAAUCUUUGAACGCACAUUGCGCCCUUUGGUAUUCCUUAGGGCAUGCCUGUUCGAGCGUCAUUUAAACCUUCAAGCUCAGCUUGGUGAUGGGUGACUGUCCCCCCCCCCCGGGGACUCGCCCCAAAUACAUUGGCGGCCGGUACAUUGGCUUCGAGCGCAGCAGAAACGCGGUCUCGAGCCCGGUGGAUCGGCUCCCAGAAGCCUCUUCUUUAUUUUGACCUCGGAUCAGGUAGGGAUACCCGCUGAACUUAAGC